Long non-coding RNA from Physella acuta, 459 nucleotides. RefSeq lists it as uncharacterized. The record is from RefSeq and is a predicted model, not a curated record. Lineage: Eukaryota; Metazoa; Mollusca; Gastropoda; Physidae.
CGCCAACUAUCAUAGCUCCACAAUUGCAGUACACAAACUCUCACACCAAGUUUUUGAGAUUUUCAACAGCUAGACUGGAAUGUUUUUUCUCUGGAUAUGACCUCCAAUACACUAAAGGUCCUGUGACAAAAUGGUAUUUCGAUGACGGCAACGAGAUCAAAGCAACCAGCAAAUAUUCAUUUUCACUUGAUCAUCGUCGUCUUUACAUUUAUAAUGUGGAUGAAUCUGAUGAGAAAAAUUAUUACUGCCAAGCACACAAUACAGGAGGAACAUCUAACAAAGAGGCUGUGUUUCUUGAUAUUACUACCUCCCCAAUAUUUUACCCAAACGGAUCUCCAGUGGAUCAAACUACGUCUGAAGGUAAAGAUGCCGUAUUUAACUGUAAUGCCAGGUCAGCACGUGGAGAAACAGAGCCUGAUCCACCUGUGUGGUACAUUAAUGGACAGCAAGUCGGUGCAC